GUAGGCUGCAACUCGCCUACAUGAAGCUGGAAUUGCUAGUAAUCACAGGUCAGCAUACUGUGGUGAAUACGUUCCCGGGCCUUGUACACACCGCCCGUCACACCAUGAGAGUUGAGAAUACCCGAAGUCCAUGUCAAAGUGGCCGAAGGUAGGCUUGAUGAUUGGGGUGAAGUCGUAACAAGGUACC
RNAcentral lists this ribosomal RNA (187 nucleotides) under uncultured bacterium. Its description in RNAcentral is "partial 16S ribosomal RNA". It matches the Rfam family "Bacterial small subunit ribosomal RNA", at positions 1300 to 1500 of the family's 1533-position model. The record is from RNAcentral.